AUUUCUUCUCUUCCAUAACUCCCAUACAACGCAUGCAGGUAAAGCUUGAAAAACUGAUUUCAAUCUAGGUACAACUGGAUUCGUCCAGCAUUUUGUAAUUGCUUGAUGUAAAGACAAACCUUCUGAAUGAAUUCCUGCUCUGGUUAGAAAGUACCUCCAUACAAUCGAAGUUGUAUUUGAUGUGAAGAAAAGAUGAACUAGAGACUCUUCCUUAGAAUCAGCACAACACCAACAUUUAGAAGCAAUUGAGUAUCCUAUUCUACGCAAGAAGUCAUCAAGUGGCAAUUUUUCUUUCCAUACCUUCCACAAAAAGAAAGAUAUCUUGAAAGGUAGGCCUUUGACCCAUAUCAUCCUGUAAGUGGAUACAUCAUGAAGUGAUCUGAAACCUAUACCCCCUUCCUCAUAAGGCAGACAUAGGUUAGUCCAGGAUGACCAAUGUCUUGAAUUUCCUCCCACAUUACUGCUCCAGAAGAAUUUUGCAAAAAUGCUAUGUAAUUUGGUAAUGACACAAUUAGGAGGAUUAACUGCUGAUAACAUAUGAAUUGGCAUACUUUGCAGAACAUUUGUGAUCAAUAUAGCCCUGUCGCCUACCGAGAGGAGCUUUCCUUUCCACGACUGCAGUCUGUCCAUAACCUUUGUCAUUAACGUCGGGUAGUAAUCACUCUGUCUUCUUGCAUAAAAUAUAGGACAUGCAAGAUAUGUCAUUGGGAAACAUUAUUUUCCUGUACCAGUAAUCCUUUCCACCUUGUUAAUCACCACAUCUUUCGUUGAAUGAUGCAGAUAUAUGGCUGAUUUGGCUUUAUUGAUCAAUUGACCAGAUGCUGCUUCAUAGGCUUGCAGAACCUCCAUCACAAGUGUCAGGGACAUUUCAUCUGAUGAGCAGAAAAUGAUUGUAUCAUCCGCAUAAGCCAGGUGGUUUCGAUCAAUUGACCAGAUGCUGCAUCAUAAGCUUGCAGAACCUCCACCACAAGUGUCAGGUACAUUUCAUCUGAUGAGCAAAAAAUGAUUGUAUCAUCCGCAAAAGCUAGGUGGUUUAUUUUUGGGCUCCAUUUAGGAAGUCUAAAUCCGCUGAAAAACCGGUUAUUAUGCAGUGAAUUCAAACCUCUAGACAAAGCUUCUGCUGCUAGAACGAAUAAGGUAGGUGACAGAGGGUCUCCCUGCUUUACUCCCCUAGAAGAUUUGAAAAAACCAUUUGGUUGUCCAUUUAUUAGAAUAGAGUACCAGUUAUUCCCAAUCAAAUCAUAUAUCAAGCCGAUAAAAUCUUCUGGAAAACCCAUCUUUCUUAGCACUUUUGUCAAGAAAAGCCAUGAUAAUCUAUCAUACGCUUUUGUCAUAUCUAGCUUUAUCACCACAUUUGGUCCUGCUUUAGUUCUCACCCUGAUAUCCUUAAUGAUUUCUUGUGUUAGCAGAACAUUCUCUACAAUAUUUCUUCCCUUCACGAAACCUGCUUGCUCCUCCGAGAUGAUGUUUGGUAAUAGUUCCCUCAACCUUUUAUGAAUGACUCUUGAGAAAAUCUUGUUAACAAAGUUACUAAGACUGAUAGGUCUCAAGUCUGCAAAAGUAUUCACUUCUUUUUUCUUUAGCAAUAAAACCAGAUUUGUGUGCGUGACACUCUUUGGGAGUUGGUGACCGCAGAAGAAAUAAUUCACCAUGUUGACCACAUCUUCUUCAAUGAUGUCCCAGCAUGAUUGGUAGAAAGCUCCAGUGAAACCGUCUGGACCGCCUGCUGAAUCCC
Molecule: long non-coding RNA, 1735 nt
Filed under: Nicotiana benthamiana
Lineage: Eukaryota; Viridiplantae; Streptophyta; Magnoliopsida; Solanales; Solanaceae
Description: long non-coding RNA (NBEN_LNC013535)
Source: RNAcentral